Oncorhynchus nerka (sockeye salmon) is the source of this 405-nucleotide long non-coding RNA. RefSeq lists it as uncharacterized. The transcript has 3 exons. The record is from RefSeq and is a predicted model, not a curated record. Lineage: Eukaryota; Metazoa; Chordata; Actinopteri; Salmoniformes; Salmonidae.
GUGCCGAAGCCCCCACAAGGCCCCAGGCCCAGCCGAGAGGCCAAUAUACCAAAGGCAGAAAAGAAGGCCAGAGAUGUUAUCAAGGCUAAAAAGUCUAGGGAGGCUAAGUCAGGGGUGAUAUACGUAAGCCGCCAAGUAGUUGGUGUGUUGGCACUGCCUCAAACGCUUCUAUCUCUAACAACCAGUUACAGUGUCCUGCCAGCUAUCAAGAAGGGCACUAAAGUGACGAAGGUGGAGACAACAGAAACCCCAGGUCCCCUGACACCUAAUGAUGGGGAGAUAAUGAUCUCCUAUCCAUCUGUUGAUGACCUCCUGACCCCAAAGAGUGAUGUCACGUCCGAGGUUAAGAGCGAUGAUGCCUCCUGUCCAAUUUCACCUGAGGCGUUCUCUCUAACAAACUUCCUG